CUGCCUUUUACUGGGGAAUAAUCACUGGAAACGGUGACUAAUACCGCAUAAUAUUCUUGGAAGGCAUCUUCCGAGAAGGAAAGGAAAUAUUCGGUAAAAGAUGGGCCCGCAUCUGAUUAGCUAGUUGGUGAGAUAACAGCCCACCAAGGCGACGAUCAGUAGCCGACCUGAGAGGGUGACCGGCCACAUUGGGACUGAGACACGGCCCAAACUCCUACGGGAGGCAGCAGUGGGGAAUAUUGCACAAUGGGGGGAACCCUGAUGCAGCAACGCCGCGUGAAGGAAGACGGUUUUCGGAUUGUAAACUUCUAUCAAUAGGGAAGAAAGAAAUGACGGUACCUAAAUAAGAAGCCCCGGCUAACUACGUGCCAGCAGCCGCGGUAAUACGUAGGGGGCAAGCGUUAUCCGGAAUUACUGGGUGUAAAGGGAGAGUAGGCGGCAAGGUAAGCGAUAUGUGAAAGCCUUAGGCUUAACCUGAGGAUUGCAUAACGAACUAUCUAGCUAGAGUACAGGAGAGGAAAGCGGAAUUCCUAGUGUAGCGGUGAAAUGCGUAGAUAUUAGGAAGAACACCAGUGGCGAAGGCGGCUUUCUGGACUGAAACUGACGCUGAGGCUCGAAAGCGUGGGGAGCGAACAGGAUUAGAUACCCUGGUAGUCCACGCUGUAAAC
Molecule: ribosomal RNA, 668 nt
Filed under: uncultured bacterium
Lineage: Bacteria
Description: bacterial SSU rRNA
Rfam family: Bacterial small subunit ribosomal RNA
Source: RNAcentral